GUCGCAAGACCAAAGUGGGGGACCUUCGGGCCUCAUGCCAUCAGAUGUGCCCAGAUGGGAUUAGCUAGUAGGUGGGGUAACGGCUCACCUAGGCGACGAUCCCUAGCUGGUCUGAGAGGAUGACCAGCCACACUGGAACUGAGACACGGUCCAGACUCCUACGGGAGGCAGCAGUGGGGAAUAUUGCACAAUGGGCGCAAGCCUGAUGCAGCCAUGCCGCGUGUGUGAAGAAGGCCUUCGGGUUGUAAAGCACUUUCAGCGGGGAGGAAGGCGGUGAGGUUAAUAACCUCAUCGAUUGACGUUACCCGCAGAAGAAGCACCGGCUAACUCCGUGCCAGCAGCCGCGGUAAUACGGAGGGUGCAAGCGUUAAUCGGAAUUACUGGGCGUAAAGCGCACGCAGGCGGUCUGUCAAGUCGGAUGUGAAAUCCCCGGGCUCAACCUGGGAACUGCAUUCGAAACUGGCAGGCUAGAGUCUUGUAGAGGGGGGUAGAAUUCCAGGUGUAGCGGUGAAAUGCGUAGAGAUCUGGAGGAAUACCGGUGGCGAAGGCGGCCCCCUGGACAAAGACUGACGCUCAGGUGCGAAAGCGUGGGGAGCAAACAGGAUUAGAUACCCUGGUAGUCCACGCCGUAAACGAUGUCGAUUUGGAGGUUGUGCCCUUGAGGCGUGGCUUCCGGAGCUAACGCGUUAAAUCGACCGCCUGGGGAGUACGGCCGCAAGGUUAAAACUCAAAUGAAUUGACGGGGGCCCGCACAAGCGGUGGAGCAUGUGGUUUAAUUCGAUGCAACGCGAAGAACCUUACCUGGUCUUGACAUCCACAGAACUUUCCAGAGAUGGAUUGGUGCCUUCGGGAACUGUGAGACAGGUGCUGCAUGGCUGUCGUCAGCUCGUGUUGUGAAAUGUUGGGUUAAGUCCCGCAACGAGCGCAACCCUUAUCCUUUGUUGCCAGCGGUCCGGCCGGGAACUCAAAGGAGACUGCCAGUGAUAAACUGGAGGAAGGUGGGGAUGAC
This 1009-nucleotide ribosomal RNA is filed under the name Klebsiella pneumoniae. RNAcentral describes it as "bacterial SSU rRNA". It matches the Rfam family "Bacterial small subunit ribosomal RNA", at positions 192 to 1183 of the family's 1533-position model. Lineage: Bacteria; Pseudomonadati; Pseudomonadota; Gammaproteobacteria; Enterobacterales; Enterobacteriaceae. The record is from RNAcentral.